Molecule: ribosomal RNA, 466 nt
Filed under: uncultured bacterium
Lineage: Bacteria
Description: bacterial SSU rRNA
Rfam family: Bacterial small subunit ribosomal RNA
Source: RNAcentral
UGCCAGACUCCUACGGGAGGCAGCAGUGAGGAAUAUUGGUCAAUGGGCGGGAGCCUGAACCAGCCAAGUCGCGUGAGGGAAGACGGUCCUAUGGAUUGUAAACCUCUUUAGGCGGGGAGCAAUGCCGGGCACGCGCGCCCGGAGGGAGAGUACCCGCAGAAUAAGCAUCGGCUAACUCCGUGCCAGCAGCCGCGGUAAUACGGAGGAUGCGAGCGUUAUCCGGAUUUAUUGGGUUUAAAGGGUGCGUAGGCGGAUUUUUAAGUCAGCGGUAAAAUGUCCGGGCUCAACCCGGGCCGGCCGUUGAAACUGGGGAUCCUGAGUGGGCGAGAAGUAUGCGGAAUGCGUGGUGUAGCGGUGAAAUGCAUAGAUAUCACGCAGAACUCCGAUUGCGAAGGCAGCAUACCGGCGCCCGACUGACGCUGAGGCACGAAAGCGUGGGGAUCGAACAGGAUUAGAUACCCGUGUA